UCUGAACGCAUCCCGGAUCAGUCAGGAACUCUUCAUCCUUUUAAGCAUAUGCGCAUGCGUGAUUCAUAACCGGUUCGGAAUUUAUUUCAAACGCGAACGAUCCACGGACUGUCAACUCUAAUUUUGUUUGGGUUAGUAUAGGUUAUGUUUUUCGAUUGUUUUGUUUAGGAAGGAGUUUUUUUUUUAAAUUUUAACAGUGAAGAUUUAAAGCAAAAAAAAAAAUGGCUAAUGUGAAUUAUGAAGAAGAGUUAUCCCACUUCUUACAAUUUAAUGCGUCUGGCUCUGCCCCAUCGACUUCUGGCCACCCCAUUCAGGUGGAACCAUCAAAACACUUUGUUUUUGGAAAUAUAUAAAAAAUAUAAAUCUGUGGUUGGCUCUUUCAGUAUUAAAAGCUUUAAAAAAAAUAUAUGAGGAGAUUGCUAAAGAGCUCAGAAAAAAGUUAAUGUCAUAGCUGGAAAAUUAAUGCAAAAAAAAUUGGAAAAUUAAACAAAUUAAUGUCAUAGCUGAAUACUGUGAGAAUAGGUGGAAGGUACUGGAAAGGGUAUAAAAAAUUUGUUGGCAACAACAGGCAGACAGGCAGGGGAAGACAGGAUUUUGAAUAUGCCGAUGUUAUGGAAGCAAUCCUGGGACAUAGGAAAAAAUAUCAAUCCAAUAAUUUUGCUUUCAAGUGAAACAGUUUCCCACCCUAAAACUGUUGAAGAAAACACAGAAAAUGACGACCCACUUAAAGCUGAUUUACAAGGUAUUGAGAUUCCCAGUAGUCUGCCACAAAGUUUAGUAAAGAACAAACUCACUCAAAAGUUCCCAAAUAGGAAACUCAAAAGUAAUAUUACAAAAAAGGCGAGAAAUAGAAGAAAAGAAAUCUGCAGAAAAAAAAAGAAAAAAUUAUUUACUUCAAGAGAGGAACCAACUGUUGAAGCAACAUUUAAAAAAUAAUAUUAAUAUUGAUACCAUUCAUUUUAGUACCUAGCUCUUGUUAUUUUUUUUUCUAGUUUUGAAGUUUUUUUUUGAGUUUUCUUUAGAAAUUUAAACUUUUUGUUUGUUAUUUACUUUAAAUUUAUCUACUUUUGUUUUUUUUUUUUAAUUUCUAUAUGUACUGUGAUAUCAGAUAAUAUACGUACCUGA
Anthonomus grandis grandis is the source of this 1125-nucleotide long non-coding RNA. RefSeq lists it as uncharacterized. The record is from RefSeq and is a predicted model, not a curated record. Lineage: Eukaryota; Metazoa; Arthropoda; Insecta; Coleoptera; Curculionidae. The transcript has 3 exons.